GCACAGUCUUGAUGAAUAGAUCUUUUCCUUGAAUAAAACAGUAUGCAUUCUAUGAAGAAGAAAUGGCAUGCAUAAGGCUGAAGUCCAGAUCUCUUGGGAGAAGAUGUGGCUGCCAGAGGAACAUGCAGUGCUGGAAAACUUGCCAGAAGGCACAAGGCUGGAGGUGGUCUGAGAGGGUUUCUGAGUUUGGAGCCUUGGGGAAAUCCCUCAUGUGUUUUCUUCCUUGGAACUUUUUAGAAUUGGCCAAUCAGACCUGAUGAUCAGAGAUGCGUAGUUUUUUUUUCUCUUUGCCGCUUUCAUUUUGUGUAACCCA
Molecule: long non-coding RNA, 313 nt
Filed under: Callithrix jacchus (white-tufted-ear marmoset)
Lineage: Eukaryota; Metazoa; Chordata; Mammalia; Primates; Cebidae
Description: lncRNA (ENSCJAG00000077836.1)
Source: RNAcentral